CUAUAACGGUCCUAAGGUAGCGAAAUUCCUUGUCGGGUAAGUUCCGACCCGCACGAAAGGCGUAACGAUUUGGGCACUGUCUCAACAACAGACUCGGUGAAAUUGUAAUUCCGGUGAAGAUGCCGGAUACCUGCGACAGGACGGAAAGACCCCAUGGAGCUUUACUGUAGCUUGACAUUGGGGCUUGGUACUACAUGUACAGGAUAGGUGGGAGGCUUUGAAACCAGGACGACAGUUUUGGCGGAGCCAUCCUUGGGAUACCACCCUUGUAGUACUGGGACUCUAACCAUAGGCCAUGAAUCUGGUCUUGGGACACUGUCAGGUGGGCAGUUUGACUGGGGCGGUCGCCUCCCAAAAGG
This 359-nucleotide ribosomal RNA is filed under the name Clostridioides difficile. RNAcentral's name for it is "bacterial LSU rRNA". It matches the Rfam family "Bacterial large subunit ribosomal RNA", at positions 1940 to 2297 of the family's 2925-position model. Lineage: Bacteria; Bacillati; Bacillota; Clostridia; Peptostreptococcales; Peptostreptococcaceae. The record is from RNAcentral.